RNAcentral lists this ribosomal RNA (253 nucleotides) under uncultured bacterium. Its description in RNAcentral is "partial 16S ribosomal RNA". It matches the Rfam family "Bacterial small subunit ribosomal RNA", at positions 524 to 776 of the family's 1533-position model. The record is from RNAcentral.
UACGAAGGGGGCUAGCGUUGUUCGGAAUCACUGGGCGUAAAGCGCACGUAGGCGGAUCUUUAAGUCAGGGGUGAAAUCCCGAGGCUCAACCUCGGAACUGCCUUUGAUACUGGGGAUCUCGAGUCCGGGAGAGGUGAGUGGAACUGCGAGUGUAGAGGUGAAAUUCGUAGAUAUUCGCAAGAACACCAGUGGCGAAGGCGGCUCACUGGCCCGGAACUGACGCUGAGGUGCGAAAGCGUGGGGAGCGAACAGG